GGGGAUUUAGCUCAGUGGCAUAAGCGCCUGCCUUGCAAGCAGGAAGUCAUGAGUUCGAUCCCUG
RNAcentral lists this transfer RNA (64 nucleotides) under Cavia porcellus (domestic guinea pig). It matches the Rfam family "tRNA", at positions 1 to 62 of the family's 71-position model. Rfam says of the family: Transfer RNA (tRNA) molecules are approximately 80 nucleotides in length. Their secondary structure includes four short double-helical elements and three loops (D, anti-codon, and T loops). Lineage: Eukaryota; Metazoa; Chordata; Mammalia; Rodentia; Caviidae. The record is from Rfam by way of RNAcentral.